This 255-nucleotide ribosomal RNA is filed under the name uncultured bacterium. RNAcentral's name for it is "partial 16S ribosomal RNA". It matches the Rfam family "Bacterial small subunit ribosomal RNA", at positions 524 to 776 of the family's 1533-position model. The record is from RNAcentral.
UACGGGGGGGAGCAAGCGUUGUUCGGAUUUACUGGGCGUAAAGGGCGCGUAGGCGGUCGUGACAAGUCACUUGUGAAAUCUCCGGGCUUAACUCGGAACGGUCAAGUGAUACUGUCGGACUAGAGUACAGAAGGGGCAACUGGAAUUCUUGGUGUAGCGGUGAAAUGCGUAGAUAUCAAGAGGAACACCUGCGGCGAAGGCGGGUUGCUGGGCCGACACUGACGCUGAGGCGCGAAAGCUAGGGGAGCGAACGGG